AUUGAACGCUGGCGGCAUGCUUUACACAUGCAAGUCGAACGGCAGCGCGGGCUUCGGCCUGGCGGCGAGUGGCGAACGGGUGAGUAAUACAUCGGAACGUGCCCAGUAGUGGGGGAUAGCUCGGCGAAAGCCGGAUUAAUACCGCAUACGACCUGAGGGUGAAAGCGGGGGAUCUUCGGACCUCGCGCUAUUGGAGCGGCCGAGGGCAGAUUAGCUAGUUGGUGGGGUAAAGGCCUACCAAGGCGACGAUCUGUAGCUGGUCUGAGAGGAUGACCAGCCACACUGGAACUGAGACACGGCCCAGACUCCUACGGGAGGCAGCAGUGGGGAAUUUUGGACAAUGGGCGAAAGCCUGAUCCAGCAAUGCCGCGUGUGUGAUGAAGGCCUUCGGGUUGUAAAGCACUUUUGGCGGGAACGAAAAGGACUGUGCCAAUACCACGGUUCGAUGACGGUACCCGCAGAAUAAGCACCGGCUAACUACGUG
Molecule: ribosomal RNA, 484 nt
Filed under: uncultured bacterium
Lineage: Bacteria
Description: partial 16S ribosomal RNA
Rfam family: Bacterial small subunit ribosomal RNA
Source: RNAcentral